Long non-coding RNA from Triticum aestivum (bread wheat), 596 nucleotides. RefSeq lists it as uncharacterized. Lineage: Eukaryota; Viridiplantae; Streptophyta; Magnoliopsida; Poales; Poaceae. The record is from RefSeq and is a predicted model, not a curated record. The transcript has 3 exons.
CCAGGUAGAACUCGCCAGGUCCGACCACGCCGACGGCGGGAGGGUAGCGACAAGGGGGCAGCCAGUUGGAACUGGAGGGCCGGCGCCGAGGGCCUGCCACUGUGAGACUCCACCGCCAAACACACCAACCCCAAGCUGAGUUAUGUUCUCCCAAAGACCUCUGUGAUGAUGGAAGUCGCAUAUCAUCCCUGGUUUUCUCUCCAUUGAUAGUAGCAGCAGAUUUGGUCGACUUGAAAUUAAAUGAUGCAGUACUUGACCUGAUGUGCUGCAUGUAUAUCUCCGGUGCUGGCUUGCAUGUUCUUUGAUAUCAGGUUUUGCAACAGAAGUUCCAUUUUGAAUUUCCCAUCUGUUGCAGGUUUUGUUACAGAAGUUGACGGAGGUUUGGAAGAUCUUCAAGGUGCUGAAGAUUUGGAAGACCUACGAUUAAGUUGGUGCAGUGAUCAUAUAAUAUGCUUUGUUUGUUGAACCUGGACACUUGCUCUGCUCAUUUUGCUGGUUAUGCCACUAUAUGCUCAUUUUGGUUGUGUGGCACCCUCAGAAAGAUAUGUUCUUUCUCCUUUUGUGGCACAAUUAACAUAUAUGUACUAUACCUUUUG